Molecule: long non-coding RNA, 736 nt
Filed under: Gorilla gorilla gorilla (western lowland gorilla)
Lineage: Eukaryota; Metazoa; Chordata; Mammalia; Primates; Hominidae
Description: lncRNA (ENSGGOG00000044665.1)
Source: RNAcentral
ACGUGAGGCGCACGCGCACAAAGGCUGGGGAGUGCGCGGAGGACCAUCGGCUGCGCCUGCGCAGUUGCUGCGUGAGGCGGGGUCUGCGCCGAGUGGGUGGGGGGUUUCCUUUCCCCGCAGGGCUGGGGGUCCGCUGUUUCCCCGCGCUGCUGCCGAGGCCCCGCCGUCCGCGUCUUGGCCGUGUGUCCACACCCCAGACUGCGGACCGGGGCGCACUCUGUCUUCUUGCGCGGAGCGUCCGAGGCCUGAGGGGGCCAGAAGCAAACUCCAGCCCUCCCUGGGUCUACUGCUCGCUGAGGAAGCCGCAGGUGCACACUGGAUCCACAAGGCACAGAACCAUCUUGGCCCUCCGCAAGCCCCCCCCUUCCGCCAGGGCAGACGGCCUCAGGUGACAAUGGGUUUUUCCUUCACUGGAGUUUAAAAUAAACCAGACUCCUCAGCAACUCCUGCUUCCAGAAUCAAAAAUAAGUGUCUCUGGGGCCCAAGGUAGGGGGUGAGGGGGACAUACCAGCAGCUUCCACCAGAGGUGGGGAGGGGCAGGGCACCAGCAGAGAAAACAUGCCGGCAAACACACACCGCCUGGGGAAAACCCCCUGAAGCCGAUGGAGACUUGCCUUUGCUCAAGGCCUUUCCUGACAGCUUAGUGGUGGGAGGGGUCCCACCUGGCUCAGCACACACCACCCGCAGGGGCCUCUGCAGCUGUCAGGUCAGCUGUGGGUGCAGAAGCCGAUACUCC